RNAcentral lists this ribosomal RNA (253 nucleotides) under uncultured bacterium. Its description in RNAcentral is "partial 16S ribosomal RNA". It matches the Rfam family "Bacterial small subunit ribosomal RNA", at positions 524 to 776 of the family's 1533-position model. The record is from RNAcentral.
UACGAAGGGUGCAAGCGUUAAUCGGAAUUACUGGGCGUAAAGGGUGCGUAGGCGGUUGUUUAAGCCUGUCGUGAAAUCCCCGGGCUCAACCUGGGAAUGGCGAUGGAUACUGGGCAGCUAGAGUGUGUCAGAGGAUGGUGGAAUUCCCGGUGUAGCGGUGAAAUGCGUAGAGAUCGGGAGGAACAUCAGUGGCGAAGGCGGCCAUCUGGGACAACACUGACGCUGAAGCACGAAAGCGUGGGGAGCAAACAGG